CCAGACGGCCGGAUGGCCGCUCCCGGGGCUUCCCGGGGGAGGAAAGUCCGGGCUCCACGGAAACACGGUGCCGGGUAACACCCGGCGGAGGUGACUCCAGGGACAGUGCCGCAGAAAACAGACCGCCGGCUCGCUUGCGUGCCGGCAAGGGUGAAACGGUGCGGUAAGAGCGCACCGCGUUUCCGGCAACGGAGACGGCACGGUAAACCCCACCGGGAGCAAGACCGAAUAGGGACGGCGUGGCCUGGCGACAGGUCGAUGGUGUUUCCGCCUCCGUCCGGGCCGGUCGCACGAGGUGCGUGGCAACGCGCGCCCGAGAUGAAUGGCCAUCCUCGACAGAACCCGGCUUACAGGCCGUCUGGCCCG
Molecule: RNase P RNA, 366 nt
Filed under: Rhodospirillales bacterium
Lineage: Bacteria; Pseudomonadati; Pseudomonadota; Alphaproteobacteria; Rhodospirillales
Description: RNase P RNA component class A
Rfam family: Bacterial RNase P class A
About the family: Ribonuclease P (RNase P) is a ubiquitous endoribonuclease, found in archaea, bacteria and eukarya as well as chloroplasts and mitochondria. Its best characterised activity is the generation of mature 5'-ends of tRNAs by cleaving the 5'-leader elements of precursor-tRNAs.
Source: RNAcentral